This is a long non-coding RNA of Limulus polyphemus (Atlantic horseshoe crab), 652 nucleotides long. RefSeq lists it as uncharacterized. Lineage: Eukaryota; Metazoa; Arthropoda; Merostomata; Xiphosura; Limulidae. The transcript has 2 exons. The record is from RefSeq and is a predicted model, not a curated record.
AAAUCAAUUAAAAACGGAGACGUAACAGGAAUAACAAUCGUAUGGGUAUCAGUAGUCACUCUGGGAACUUUGGAUGUAGACAAGCCACCUGUGGACAAGUCAUCAAAAUUUGUCUGAAGAAGAUGGUGAAACUUCUGGUGUCGCAGCUUAAGAUCAUGAAACUGUUUCUUGAGCUUGGAAUGCACUUCUGGAGGGACUGUUUCUCUAUAGAAAUUGAGUAUUAUAAAACAAUUAUUCUGUGAUAAACAGUUGUAGUGAUUUUUUUAAGUGACAUAUAUUAAACUAUACCACAAGCAAUUUUGUAUUAUGAAAUAAUGAAAAAUCACCUACUCUAAAUAAAUUACCAAAUAAUAACUACCUGGAGAAUGUUUAAUCACAGUAAGUACAUUAAAAAGUAAUAAUUUACUUCUGAUUGGAUCAUUAACUGUGGUUAACAAUGUUUAAAUAACACACUUAAUGACAGACUAACACAUUCAUUAACUCUAAUUAAUGAUGUUUAAGUAUUUAACAUAGAGAAAAUUCCAAUUAAAAAUAGCAAUUUUUGCAACCUCUAAAAAAAAAGUUUUAUAACCUCAAUGCUUAAUUAAAUUCACACAAAAUGGAACAUUUUCUUCUCAUUCACAAUACAGUUAGUUAAUUAACUGAAACAAAA